Long non-coding RNA from Cheilinus undulatus (humphead wrasse), 1266 nucleotides. RefSeq lists it as uncharacterized. The record is from RefSeq and is a predicted model, not a curated record. NCBI's taxonomy places the organism in Eukaryota, Metazoa, Chordata, Actinopteri, Labriformes, Labridae. The transcript is spliced from 5 exons.
GCGUCAGAGUUAACCGCCAUUUUAUACCGGAAGUGCUGAAUUAAACGUUUAAGGACUAUUUUCACUCUUCGAGAUGGAUGUCCCUCAGCUUUAACACGUAGUGCAACUCCUGCAACAAAUCCCACUGAAUCCUCUUGACCUCCAUCUAAGCCACAUCCACUGGAGCUGACAGCGCCUUCUGGAGUCACUGCUGAUGUUUCCACUGUCUACACCACAGCUGAUCUAGGGUCAAACAAGCUAACAGAAGUCUUGGCCAAGAAUCACAAAGCAGAAGACGAGUGGAGAGUCAGACAUCUGUGGGGACUUAUCCAUCUGUCAAGCAAAAUGGCUCUGAACUCCUCAUCCUCACACAAAUCUGGAAAUGAGAGGAAUGGAGGAAAGAAAUGUGUGCUUAUUUCUGCUUCAAGACUCUUUGAUUCUGUUAUUUCAGAUUGACAGCUGCAGCCCUCCUCCACCCCAGCUACCUCCAUGACAUGUCCAGGUCCAAGUCCUUUGUGCAUCCUACAUCCCUUCAUCGCUACUUCCAAGUCUUCUCAUCGGUGUCCUCAGAAGUCCUUUCCCUAAUCUUAUCCUACCUCCUCCAUCACCACCACCAGUGUCUAGACUCCAUAGGGGGGUAUCCUAUUCCGGCUGUCGGCCUAACUACCCCUUCAAGGUCAUAAAGACAUCCAAUGGAGUCUAUUUGCCAAAGACAUUUCCCAUUUUCAAACAUUUCCAAACUCUUAAAAUACAUCUUUGUUAAGCUUAUAUUCAGUCUCUCCUUUUUAUUUUAGACUCAGGCUGGGACACCACAGUUCCCAGAUACACCAAUAAUGCUGAGCUAAAUGAGUCGAAUAAAAGUAAAACAUGCAUUGCCCAUAGUUUCAAGAUCCACAGACAUUUUUACAUUUUCUGUUUGACUUCUUAAAAGUUUAAAAGGUAAAUAUGAACUUAAAAACAAAAAUAUUCAUAUAACCUAUAAUAAGCUGUAACUUGUAAGGGAGCCAAGCUAGCAGACAGUAUGUUGCAGACACUGUGCUUUGAGCCAAUGACAACAUUGGACAAUAAAAGUUGCCAAGAUUCUGUCAUUUUGUGUGUAAUUUUACUUUCUCAGGCUACCAGUUUAGCCAAUACUUAGUCAUAAAGUACUACACAAACAAAGAAAAUCCUGCCAUUCUCAUGCUGUUGUUGAAGGUUGUGACAGUAAUGUUUGGUUAUUUCUAUCUGGACCAAAGUGGAGGAAUGAAGGCUGAGCUGCCAGCAUCACAAAUGCCAAAAACCACAAGU